Molecule: long non-coding RNA, 893 nt
Filed under: Equus asinus (donkey)
Lineage: Eukaryota; Metazoa; Chordata; Mammalia; Perissodactyla; Equidae
Description: lncRNA (ENSEASG00005023708.1)
Source: RNAcentral
UCCAGAGGUGGCAAAGCCUUCAGGGUUCGACUCACAUUGUCUGUUCUCAAGGGACUCACACACACAAGCUAGACUGCCGAUUUGUUAAUUUGACAGAGAACUGAGACUGUCAGGAGGCUGCGCUGGUCAGCACGUCCUCUCCUUCUCGAAGCAAAGCCCCUGGGGAAGCCAGGCACCAGCAGAAGGCUGCUCCGUGAAGUCACAGCCCAGCGAACCACAGGCUCUUCCCGGCGAGAGGCAGGAAGCUGGCAAGCCAGAGCGCACAGCCCCUCAGGCCUGGGGGCCGGUCUCCUGGACAGAGGACGCCCGCCCUCCAACAUUCUCACACUUCGGAUGCUCCUGUUGUAGAAUCAACGCAUUCGACUAAAACAAUGACUGAUGACAAGUACUGCUCUAGGUCCUGGGAAUAGAAGAUAACCCAAGUCGUCCAGCAGCUUCCUGUUGAGUCGGAGAGCAUGAGUGCAAAGAAUCACCAUUUGGGCAAGUUAGCAAAUCAGUCCACCGGUUACAGAAGUGUCACUCAAAGUGGAAUCCACGGGUGCAUGCUCUGGGAUAGGAUACUUCUCUAUGGAGACUUUUUCCCCUGUGUUUUCAUCGCAGUGAUAAUCUAAGAAAAACAGCAUAGGAGCAUAUGCUAUUUCCUUGGGAUGGCCACCUUGUAAGUGAGAGCUGCGGAACCAAAUCACGUACAGCACGAGACAGCAAAGGCCGGCCCAACACAGAGGCUGCUCUGCGGGCCACAGUAGGAGGGCCACCUGGACACAUGGAAGCAAGACACUUUUAUCAUGAGUUAGAACCGAAACCGUGACAUCACUAAUGUAGAGUAUUCAAGUAAUGUCCACAGAGUUUCACCGCCUUGUAUGGGUGUGGUGGCCAGGCCUCCAAGAUGACUG